Molecule: ribosomal RNA, 917 nt
Filed under: uncultured bacterium
Lineage: Bacteria
Description: bacterial SSU rRNA
Rfam family: Bacterial small subunit ribosomal RNA
Source: RNAcentral
GAGUUUGAUCAUGGCUCAGGAUGAACGCUAGCGGCAGGCUUAACACAUGCAAGUCGAGGGGCAUCGGGAGGGAAGCUUGCUUUCCUUGCCGGCGACCGGCGCACGGGUGAGUAACACGUAUGCAACCUGCCCUCUCCAGGGGGACAACCUUCCGAAAGGGAGGCUAAUCCCGCGUAUAUCGGUUUCGGGCAUCCGAGAUCGAGGAAAGAUUCAUCGGAAGAGGAUGGGCAUGCGGCGCAUUAGCUUGACGGCGGGGUAACGGCCCACCGUGGCGACGAUGCGUAGGGGUUCUGAGAGGAAGGUCCCCCACACUGGUACUGAGACACGGACCAGACUCCUACGGGAGGCAGCAGUGAGGAAUAUUGGUCAAUGGGAGAGAUCCUGAACCAGCCAAGCCGCGUGAGGGAAGACGGCCCUAUGGGUUGUAAACCUCUUUUGUCGGAGAACAAAACCCGGGACGUGUCCCGGACUGCGUGUAUCCGAAGAAAAAGCAUCGGCUAACUCCGUGCCAGCAGCCGCGGUAAUACGGAGGAUGCGAGCGUUAUCCGGAUUUAUUGGGUUUAAAGGGUGCGUAGGCGGUCCGUUAAGUCAGCGGUAAAAUUGCGGGGCUCAACCCCGUCGAGCCGUUGAAACUGGCAGACUUGAGUUGGCGAGAAGUACGCGGAAUGCGCGGUGUAGCGGUGAAAUGCAUAGAUAUCGCGCAGAACUCCGAUUGCGAAGGCAGCGUACCGGCGCCAGACUGACGCUGAGGCACGAAAGCGUGGGGAUCGAACAGGAUUAGAUACCCUGGUAGUCCACGCAGUAAACGAUGAAUGCUGGUUGUCCGGGUCGAAUGAGAUCUGGGCGGCGAAGCGAAAGCGAUAAGCAUUCCACCUGGGGAGUACGCGGGCAACGGUGAAACUUAAAGGAAUUGACGG